Molecule: ribosomal RNA, 324 nt
Filed under: uncultured bacterium
Lineage: Bacteria
Description: bacterial SSU rRNA
Rfam family: Bacterial small subunit ribosomal RNA
Source: RNAcentral
GAUGAACGCUGGCGGCGUGCUUAACACAUGCAAGUCGAACGAAGCACCUUGAUUUGAUUCUUCGGAUGAAGAUCUUGGUGACUGAGUGGCGGACGGGUGAGUAACGCGUGGGUAACCUGCCUCAUACAGGGGGAUAACAGUUAGAAAUGACUGCUAAUACCGCAUAAGACCACAGCACCGCAUGGUGCAGGGGCAAAAACUCCGGUGGUAUGAGAUGGACCCGCGUCUGAUUAGCUAGUUGGUGAGAUAACUGCCUACCAAGGCGACGAUCAGUAGCCGACCUGAGAGGGUGAUCGGCCACAUUGGAACUGAGACACGGUCCAA